Molecule: ribosomal RNA, 490 nt
Filed under: uncultured bacterium
Lineage: Bacteria
Description: partial 16S ribosomal RNA
Rfam family: Bacterial small subunit ribosomal RNA
Source: RNAcentral
AUUGAACGCUGGCGGCAGGCCCAACACAUGCAAGUCGAACGGUAACAGGAAGCAGCUUGCUGCUUUGCUGACGAGUGGCGGACGGGUGAGUAAUGUCUGGGAAACUGCCUGAUGGAGGGGGAUAACUACUGGAAACGGUAGCUAAUACCGCAUAACGUCGCAAGACCAAAGAGGGGGACCUUCGGGCCUCUUGCCAUCGGAUGUGCCCAGAUGGGAUUAGCUAGUAGGUGGGGUAACGGCUCACCUAGGCGACGAUCCCUAGCUGGUCUGAGAGGAUGACCAGCCACGCUGGAACUGAGACACGGUCCAGACUCCUACGGGAGGCAGCAGUGGGGAAUAUUGCACAAUGGGCGCAAGCCUGAUGCAGCCAUGCCGCGUGUAUGAAGAAGGCCUUCGGGUUGUAAAGUACUUUCAGCGGGGAGGAAGGGAGUAAAGUUAAUACCUUUGCUCAUUGACGUUACCCGCAGAAGAAGCACCGGCUAACUCCGUG